Molecule: long non-coding RNA, 334 nt
Filed under: Bos indicus x Bos taurus (hybrid cattle)
Lineage: Eukaryota; Metazoa; Chordata; Mammalia; Artiodactyla; Bovidae
Description: lncRNA (ENSBIXG00005030557.1)
Source: RNAcentral
AGUGAGCAUCUGAGCCACAGCAAAUUUGUGGGUAUUAUUGGCUUUUUCAGACAUCAAAAGCAAACUGUGUGAAAGAUGAUGGAGGUGCUCAGACAAGAAUGGGGAAUGAAAAUGAGCAAAUAGAAGAUCAUGCUCAAUAAAAACACAAAAUGAUAAUCAGAAUAAAUGAGACUAUCAGUGCACAAGUAGAAGAAAAUCAACUAGGAACAUCUGUUCAGAUUCUGAGAACUGACCCUGGAAGAAUCAAAUAGGAUCUUCUUCAGUGGAGUUACUGCAGGCACUUCUAGAUGUAGUUUAAAGGAGUCUAUCCUGAAAGAUGAUGCUGUGAAAGUGC